GUGGCUAUAGCUCAGUUGGUUAGAGCAUCGGUUUGUGGUACCGAGGGUCGCGGGUUCGAGUCCCGUUAGCCACC
RNAcentral lists this transfer RNA (74 nucleotides) under Gemmata sp. Its description in RNAcentral is "tRNA-His". It matches the Rfam family "tRNA". Rfam says of the family: Transfer RNA (tRNA) molecules are approximately 80 nucleotides in length. Their secondary structure includes four short double-helical elements and three loops (D, anti-codon, and T loops). The record is from RNAcentral. Lineage: Bacteria; Pseudomonadati; Planctomycetota; Planctomycetia; Gemmatales; Gemmataceae. RNAcentral also lists the same sequence under 4 other names.